This 2234-nucleotide long non-coding RNA is filed under the name Zea mays. RNAcentral's name for it is "long non-coding RNA (ZMAY_LNC002873)". Lineage: Eukaryota; Viridiplantae; Streptophyta; Magnoliopsida; Poales; Poaceae. The record is from RNAcentral.
GGAUCCAAAAGUAGCAUACACACAUAGUUCAUUACGAAUCUAAGAAACACGUAAGCAAGUACUGCUUGCAAACAAAAGCGCAUAAUCUGUUUGUCGGGCAAUGAUAUUAGUAUCACAAGUGACAUUUUCGAUGUUCACUAAAGCGCCAAGUUUUCUCUUUUCUGACUAAACGCCAUCUUCGCUAGACCUACGAAGAAAAGAAGCUCUUUAGGAAUCCUUUAAAAAUGACAUACAAACGAUAGAUUGGUAAUACUGUGAACAGGGUCCACUAUUGAAAGAAUCAAGAAUAAAUGACGCAUAUGGCAUGUCUAGUGAUUUUACAUUGCAGAAGUUGAUUUUGAAACCUAUACUUGUCUCUAUAGCUUAACUAACGCAGGACGUGAUGAAUUUUUGCUUGUUAGAGGCAAUUCGGCAAUCCAAAAUUCACACACACUUGAUCUAGGUCUAAUACAUGACUACAGAAAAUGGCCCUUCUUUUGCAAAUAGCACAGCUAUGUUGGAAUUAAAUUGGUUUCUGGUUGCAUAGGACAUAAACAUACACAAGUGAAAUAUUUCCCAUAGUUCCAUAUCAUAGGAAGAUGUAAAGAAACAAACAGAUAGUUCGAACCAUGUUGAAUGGGGCAAAUUUUAUUUUCGAGAGAUCAGCUGCACACGGACACGAGCCAGAGGAGGGCCUACCAGAGCAUAAGACAACAGGACGUGGAUAAAAAGGUAAAAUCUAUAUGCUAUUGUGACAUGAUAUUUUUUAGAUGGUUGCUAAUAUUAUUUGGGUCCAGGAUGCUUAACGUUUUAAGUGCAAAGCACCCAGUCUGAGUCCAAAUAUUACUAUGAAAAUGAAAGGAUAUACACAACCAUACUGAAAGAAAAGAAGGGCUUGGUUAUACGGGCUCCAAGCUGCCAACCACUUACAUGCGCUCUGACCUGUCCUUUUCCUGGUGGUAAGCUGUCGAAGGAUGGUUUUCAGCUGUGUUUUUCUAAUAGUUAGUUCACCACCACGGCAAGGAAAGGAAACAGAAGGAUAGAAAACAUAAUAAAGAUAGAAAUUUGAGCGGUUUAAAACGAUAUUUGAUCAAGAAAUUUCAAGCAAUACACACUCGAGUAAGCAAACAAUAUUAAUCUCCAGCUUCCUAUAUAGAAAGUGAAUGUUAAUGUUACUAACCUCAGCUUCUAAAAUCUCCAGGCUCAGAAUCCCUCCAGAAAGUAUUUCGAACCCAAGUUAUUUCAAGCAAUACACACUCGAGUAAGCAAACAAUAAGCGAGAGAAGAGUCAACUUUAUCUAAAAGCAAUUAUGGUACUAUGGUAAAAAAUAAUGGAUUGGUUUGAAAUCAACACCAAAAAUAGGCCUUUCAAUUCUUGUCUUACAUUCUUUUAAAGACCUAAUGCUCCUCAAUUAGUUAUGCAAAUUGAGAAUCGCAGGAGGCAGCUGAAGCAGUUAGUAACAAAAUACAAAACCAAAAAAAUCCAGAACACAAUGAUUCAUCCAAGACACCAUAAUCAUCGUUCUCACAAGCAUAAGUAUAAUUGUAUGAUCAGUGCCUUCAAUAGUGUUGAGAAGAGGGUCAUUUUUUGUUGCUAGAUGGCCAGGUUCAACACAUGCCCAUGUAUAUUGAUUAUUGAAUGAUGCUUUGCUCGGGCAUUGAAAUAAAUAGUUUCCACUACUCCUGAACAUGAAGUAUAUUUCAUUUGUUCUCAGCUUGAUUUAUGUACAAAUUUCGUGCAUGUACUGUUGAGAGUUUCCUAUGUAUUUAGCAAUUUUCUUUAUUUUGAACUACUCAAGAAAAUAUUAUCUUAUUGAUGAUGAUUAUUCGAAUAGAAAGGCUUUCUAAAAGCUUGCCCAAUUUGAGCACCUGCCAAGGGGUGCUUUUGGCCAUUGUAAUAUACUACAUAUCAUUGAAGUUAAAAAUACCCUAUGCAACCUCUGGUCGCGUAUACAUAUUUCCACCACACAAAUCUGGACCUUUUUAGCCAAUCAAAACAAAAGGAACAUAAUCAUAGAUUGUCGCUCUUACAUUACAUCACGACGACUAAAACCAUUAGCAUUCUUGUCAGCUCCUAUACACAAGAUAUGCAAGCUGAAACACGAAUUGGAUUGUAUAAACUCUGACCUUGUCAGCAGCAGCCUGUAGAGUCUCAUGGUCACCCCAUUGACUGUUUCUGUUAGUUUAUAUACAAGAAAAAUGUCAUGUUAGAACAAGCAUCCACAUGCACUUAUUCUAGGUUCCAUUAUAAAAAU